RNAcentral lists this ribosomal RNA (450 nucleotides) under uncultured bacterium. RNAcentral's name for it is "partial 16S ribosomal RNA". It matches the Rfam family "Bacterial small subunit ribosomal RNA", at positions 354 to 796 of the family's 1533-position model. The record is from RNAcentral.
GUGGGGAAUAUUGGACAAUGGGCGAAAGCCUGAUCCAGCCAUGCCGCGUGUGUGAAGAAGGUCUUCGGAUUGUAAAGCACUUUAAGUUGGGAGGAAGGGCAGUAAGUUAAUACCUUGCUGUUUUGACGUUACCGACAGAAUAAGCCCCGGCUAACUUCGUGCCAGCAGCCGCGGUAAUACGAAGGGGGCGAGCGUUAUUCGGAAUCACUGGGCGUAAAGCGUGCGUAGGCGGUUCUGUAAGUUAGGAGUGAAAGCCGAGGGCUCAACCUUGGAAUUGCUGUUAAAACUGCAAGGCUCGAAUCUCGGAGAGGAUAGCAGAAUUUCCAGUGUAGCAGUGAAAUGCGUAGAUAUUGGAAGGAACACCAGUGGCGUAAGCGGCUAUCUGGACGAGUAUUGACGCUGAGGCACGAAAGCGUGGGGAGCAAACAGGAUUAGAUACCCCGGUAGUCC